Molecule: non-coding RNA, 306 nt
Organism: Pelobates cultripes (western spadefoot toad)
Lineage: Eukaryota; Metazoa; Chordata; Amphibia; Anura; Pelobatidae
Source: the annotation of a GenBank genome assembly
GAGGAGGAGAGCUCCCCGCCCUGCACUGGAGAAAGAGGUAAGUUUAACCCCUUCCUCUCCAUCCAGCCCAGCGGGAGGGGGACCCUGGGGGUGGGGGCACCCUAAGGGCACUAUAGUGCCAGGAAAACAAGUAUGUUUUCCUGGCUCUAUAGUGAUCCUUUAAUUAUUUUUGUCGUUCUGCUACAUACUGACAGAAGCAUAACCCAUCAUCUAAAUGUCUCGGAGGAUCUCUACUGUUGAAGGGAAAAUGUUUUUUGGCCAAGCAACAUGCAUAAUCAGAUGAAUAGUUGACAACAGCUUUUUCCC